This 29-nucleotide non-coding RNA is filed under the name Homo sapiens (human). Lineage: Eukaryota; Metazoa; Chordata; Mammalia; Primates; Hominidae. The record is from RNAcentral.
UACGCCUACAUGCUGGACGUCUACGGCUC